AGUUUGAUCCUGGCUCAGGAUGAACGCUGGCGGUAUGCUUAACACAUGCAAGUCGAACGGUGUCUUCGGACACAGUGGCGGACGGGUGAGUAACGCGUGAGAAUCUGCCAUCAGGUCUGGGACAACCACUGGAAACGGUGGCUAAUACCGGAUGUGCCGAGAGGUGAAAGGUUAACUGCCUGAUGAUGAGCUCGCGUCUGAUUAGCUAGUUGGCAGUGUAAUGGACUACCAAGGCGACGAUCAGUAGCUGGUCUGAGAGGAUGAUCAGCCACACUGGGACUGAGACACGGCCCAGACUCCUACGGGAGGCAGCAGUGGGGAAUUUUCCGCAAUGGGCGAAAGCCUGACGGAGCAAUACCGCGUGAGGGAGGAAGGCUCUUGGGUCGUAAACCUCUUUUCUCAGGGAAGAACACAAUGACGGUACCUGAGGAAUAAGCAUCGGCUAACUCCGUGCCAGCAGCCGCGGUAAUACGGAGGAUGCAAGCGUUAUCCGGAAUGAUUGGGCGUAAAGCGUCCGCAGGUGGCUAUGUAAGUCUGCUGUUAAAGCGUCUAGCUCAACUAGAUAAAAGCAGUGGAAACUACAAGGCUAGAGUGCGUUCGGGGCAGAGGGAAUUCCUGGUGUAGCGGUGAAAUGCGUAGAGAUCAGGAAGAACACCGGUGGCGAAGGCGCUCUGCUAGGCCGCAACUGACACUGAGGGACGAAAGCUAGGGGAGCGAAUGGGAUUAGAUACCCCAGUAGUCCUAGCCGUAAACGAUGGAUACUAGGCGUGGCUUGUAUCGACCCGAGCCGUGCCGUAGCUAA
This 802-nucleotide ribosomal RNA is filed under the name uncultured bacterium. Its description in RNAcentral is "bacterial SSU rRNA". It matches the Rfam family "Bacterial small subunit ribosomal RNA", at positions 10 to 855 of the family's 1533-position model. The record is from RNAcentral.